GUGGGGAAUAUUGGACAAUGGGCGAAAGCCUGAUCCAGCCAUGCCGCGUGUGUGAAGAAGGUCUUCGGAUUGUAAAGCACUUUAAGUUGGGAGGAAGGGCAGUAAGUUAAUACCUUGCUGUUUUGACGUUACCGACAGAAUAAGCACCGGCUAACUUCGUGCCAGCAGCCGCGGUAAUACGAAGGGUGCAAGCGUUAAUCGGAAUUACUGGGCGUAAAGCGCGCGUAGGUGGUUUUGUAAGUUCGAGGUGAAAUCCCCGGGCUCAACCUGGGAACUGCCUCCAAAACUGCAUGACUAGAGUACGGUAGAGGGUAGUGGAAUUUCCUGUGUAGCGGUGAAAUGCGUAGAUAUAGGAAGGAACACCAGUGGCGAAGGCGACUACCUGGACUGAUACUGACACUGAGGUGCGAAAGCGUGGGGAGCAAACAGGAUUAGAAACCCUUGUAGUCC
RNAcentral lists this ribosomal RNA (450 nucleotides) under uncultured bacterium. RNAcentral describes it as "partial 16S ribosomal RNA". It matches the Rfam family "Bacterial small subunit ribosomal RNA", at positions 354 to 796 of the family's 1533-position model. The record is from RNAcentral.